UACGUAGGGGGCAAGCGUUGUUCGGAAUUACUGGGCGUAAAGGGCGCGUAGGCGGCCGCCUAAGUCAGACGUGAAAUCCCUCGGCUCAACCGGGGAACUGCGUCUGAUACUGGGUGGCUUGAAUUCGGGAGAGGGAUGCGGAAUUCCAGGUGUAGCGGUGAAAUGCGUAGAUAUCUGGAGGAACACCGGUGGCGAAGGCGGCAUCCUGGACCGAGAUUGACGCUGAGGCGCGAAAGCUAGGGGAGCAAACGGG
RNAcentral lists this ribosomal RNA (253 nucleotides) under uncultured bacterium. Its description in RNAcentral is "partial 16S ribosomal RNA". It matches the Rfam family "Bacterial small subunit ribosomal RNA", at positions 524 to 776 of the family's 1533-position model. The record is from RNAcentral.